CCGGCGACCGGCGCACGGGUGAGUAACACGUAUGCAACCUGGCCGUGACAGAUGGAUAACCGGGAGAAAUCCCGCCUAAUACAACAUAAUGCCGGGAGGGGACAUCCCCUGCCGGCCAAAGGGGGCGACCCCGGUCACGGAUGGGCAUGCGGCGCAUUAGGUAGUUGGUGGGGCAACGGCCCACCAAGCCGACGAUGCGUAGGGGUUCUGAGAGGAAGGUCCCCCCACAUUGGAACUGAGACACGGUCCAAACUCCUACGGGAGGCAGCAG
RNAcentral lists this ribosomal RNA (271 nucleotides) under uncultured bacterium. Its description in RNAcentral is "partial 16S ribosomal RNA". It matches the Rfam family "Bacterial small subunit ribosomal RNA", at positions 88 to 354 of the family's 1533-position model. The record is from RNAcentral.